AGAUGUGAGGGCGAUCUGGCUGCGACAUCUGUCACCCCAUUGAUCGCCAGGGUUGAUUCAGCUGAUCUGGCUGGCUAGGCGGGUGUCCCCUUCCUCCCUCACCGCUCCAUGUGCAUCCCUCCCGAAGCUGCGCGCUCGGUCGAAGAGGACGACCAUCCCGGAUAGAGGAGGACCGUUCUUCGGUCAAGGGUAUACGAGUAGCUGCGCUCCCCUGCUAGAACCUCCAAACAAGCUCUCAAGAAGUCCAAAGUCAAAGUGUAGGCAGGGCCCCACUCCCUCUGAGACUGUGUGUGAAAUCUGUCCUUACAU
This 309-nucleotide small nuclear RNA is filed under the name Castor canadensis (American beaver). Its description in RNAcentral is "7SK RNA (ENSCCNG00000013412.1)". It matches the Rfam family "7SK RNA". From Rfam's summary of the family: 7SK was discovered as an abundant small nuclear RNA in the mid-70s but a possible function has only recently been suggested. Lineage: Eukaryota; Metazoa; Chordata; Mammalia; Rodentia; Castoridae. The record is from Rfam by way of RNAcentral.